Molecule: long non-coding RNA, 309 nt
Organism: Delphinapterus leucas (beluga whale)
Lineage: Eukaryota; Metazoa; Chordata; Mammalia; Artiodactyla; Monodontidae
Source: Ensembl
AAAGUGAGCCAUUCCCUUCUCUUUGGCAGGUAUUGCCUCUUAUUCAUCACUCCACUGCAGCUAAACAGUAACCAAAGACCAUGUGACCACUGCCCAGAGGAACCUGAAAGGCUGGUGAUGCUGGUGAAUUAAAGGAAUACAACGUCUCUAGAUGGUGAAACGGGGAUUGAGGAAGUAUUGAUUCAAAAACAUCAUUCCCGAAAAAUCUGAAUCUCAUACUUUCAAGAGAACUUCGCAGAGGUGUUGCCAAGGAAGUCAAUGUUUAGAAAGCUCCUCUGAAGGGAAAGGGAAGACUCAAGGGGCCACUGG